Molecule: long non-coding RNA, 1184 nt
Filed under: Cairina moschata (Muscovy duck)
Lineage: Eukaryota; Metazoa; Chordata; Aves; Anseriformes; Anatidae
Description: domestica (muscovy Duck (domestic type)) lncRNA (ENSCMMG00000014228.1)
Source: RNAcentral
AUGACUGGACAAAAGCAAGAGAUACAAUGCAGAGCCUGCUUUCAAACUUCAAAGAGCCCACGGAGCCCAGAGGGCUGGAUAUCAGACACUCAUGGUCUCCCAGGAAAGCCCAUUCCUCCUAUCUUAGUGGGGAGGGAGCAAGCUGAGGCACUGGCAAGUGAGCAAAACAUUAAGUGGAUUCAUUGUCCUGUGGUACACUGUGAUGAGAUACGCCAAUGGUCAUGGGAGCUACUGCUUAGGGCUUCAUUUGGCUUCCAUUGGGUUUCCUUGGCUGGAGGCUGUUCAUUCAGCCUCUUAGAGACAGAGGUGUCAGCAUUGCACCAGGCAUUCUUGUAGUGGGAAAGCCUUCCAGCCCAACACUACUGAGCAGAGCAGGGCUGUGAUAUUCUCACAUUGUACCAACAGUCCCUUGGCAAAGCAACUAAUUAAAUUAGAAUGAUGGGGCUGAAAUUUAUAUCUAUUUUCAUUACUUGGAGACUUAAUAAAAUCCCUAUCUGAAAGUAGAAAUUGUGGACCACAUAACACUUGAAGUGAUAAGCUAUUGAAAUAAGAGCUGAGAAUGAAAUAGCACCUUUUAAUGAAAUUCCAGGUCUGAAAAUUAUGUUCCCUGUCUUUCUUUGCGUUGGAAGUUUUGAGUCUGUUUACAACUUUUACUGUAAGAAAUGCCUUGAUAUAAUUAUUAUAUGCCACAAGAAACAUCCUUGUAACCUCUCUGCAAUGUCAUUAUGCCAACUUAAGUAACUCCUAUGAAAUCUUAAAAAAAAAAAAAAAAAAAAAAAGAUUGCUUUGGUGGUCAAAUAUACCACAGUAUUUUUCAAAAGCACUGCAAUUUUAAUAAACGUCUAUAGCUAUAUAAAAGGAAGAAAAGCAGGACCUACCCAAUCUCUUAACUAUCACAGUAUUUUAUUGUUGCAUUCCAGAAUCCUUCAUUCCAUCAACUUUAUUUUUUAUUGGUCUUUGACCCUGGUCUUUUUAUGAAAAAAUCACUAAUACUCCUUGUUUUCUACUAACCUUAUUCCAGCAGUUCAAAAUUCAUAUCAUAUCUGUAUUACAGCCUUUGUGGAAUAGUUUUUUCAGUGGGUUCUUCAGAUUUUAACAGAAAAUAAAGUGCUAAAAUUUACAGACUUAAUGCUGAGACAGGAGCUGAAGAUUGGCUCCCAGCUCUGUGUUCAGAUGAAGGCUCC